Molecule: non-coding RNA, 283 nt
Organism: Paramuricea clavata
Lineage: Eukaryota; Metazoa; Cnidaria; Anthozoa; Malacalcyonacea; Plexauridae
Source: the annotation of a GenBank genome assembly
GUCAGGACGGUUCGAGUAAGUGAUAUUUCGGAACAGAAUCUAGUUCCUUCAAAACCAACGUAUUCUAGUAAUAUGAAUUUUUUCUGCGUUGGUGUAGUGUACUCAGGUGAAUAUGAUAUUUGUGGUGUUACUCUGAGUAUAAUCUUUGGAAUUCUGCAUUCUAUUUUUAAAUUAUUGAACACACAUAUAAAUACUUUCUUGUGCUUUGCUAAAAUCUUGCUAGGAAAGGUUCCGAUAUACUCUCACAACAUCUCAAUCAACUAUAGUUCAUGUUCUGUUUGUU